Gigantopelta aegis is the source of this 835-nucleotide long non-coding RNA. RefSeq lists it as uncharacterized. The transcript has 3 exons. The record is from RefSeq and is a predicted model, not a curated record. NCBI's taxonomy places the organism in Eukaryota, Metazoa, Mollusca, Gastropoda, Neomphalida, Peltospiridae.
UACUUCUCGGGGUGUGGUUUUCUGUGAUCAGUCCAUGAGUAAAGACACUAACGACAACAUUUUAAUACAAAGUAUGUUUUGCACCGUUAUAAAUAAAGCUAUAAUUUACUUAAUAGUGAUGACUAUUUGCACAACGGGAGUAAUCCCAUGGAAACAAAACAUAUUUCGAAAAGUGUCCAGUAUUCCCGUGAUAGAGAAUGCUUGCGACCUCUGGAAAGGUGUUGUUUGGAGUCCGGUGGAUUGUUCUAAAACAUGUUUAAGUGAUGAACGAUGUGUUCUCUUCAUGCAUGAUAAAAACGGAACAUGUUCUACGUAUUGUAACAUCGGGACGGAGGUUGAAGCUGUGCAUGGAUAUUUUCAGACACAUGUCAGCGUGGUUUUAUGAAAUACAGAAACAGCUGUUACUGGUUUUCACCGAAAUCAGCGGGCGGAACAUGGGAUGAAGGCAAGGAAAAGGCCUAGAACAGAUGUCGACCCCCCCCCCCCCCCCCCAUGCCCAUAGAGCCUGUGGUCAUGUCUGAACACCCUGUGCAUGUAGAUGACGUGGACACGCCAGAUGUCAACCUCGUGCCCCUAGAGCCUGUGGUCAUGCCUGAACACCCUGUGCAUGUGGAUCAUGUUGACACGCCAGAUGUCGAUGCAUUACCUCUACCAAAGCAAGUUUCUCUGUGUGCACUUUCUUACCUAAUAACCUUGCUUUAUUAACGUGGGGGAACCCAUGCCGAUAUUUUCAUAGAAUAUCAUGUUGAAAGGUAAUCCGUUUCCAAUGAUUAUCUAAGACAUUGUUCGCUGAUACAUUGUCACGGGGAUCCUAUAAUACCCAUAACUGAAUGAA